CACACAAACACAAAAUUAAAAUAAAAAUAAAAAAAGGCCAAUAAUAGUUUAACAAACUCAAUAGAACUAAUACUAGAGAACCGCUAAUACUGCAUGGUAGCAGAGCAAACUGUCCUAAUUCUUCCAUAUUAUUAGGUUUAAUGAUAAUUGCUCAAUUAGGUAGGGGAACCCCAACAGGAAGCUCACAUCAAAUCUUUGACUGCUGAGCAAUCUUGAACCAUUCGGUAUGGAAAGAUCCUGUUGUAUCAAUCCUCUCAUAGGUAUGAGCUCCAAAAUAAUCUCUUUGAGCUUGGACCAAAUUAGCAGGCAGCCUGUCCCUCCUGUAGGAAUCAAAGUAAGCAAGACUAGAAGACAUACCCGGAGUGCUAAUGCCUGAGUUGAUGGCAAGGCAAACAACCCUUCGCCAGGCAGACUGUCGCUCAACUAUCUCCUUUGCAAACUCUGGAUCCACAAGAAGGUUAGCAAGAUCUGCAUUCCUAUCAUAGGCCUUCUUGAUACGGUCCAAAAAUAUUGCACGAAUAAUGCAACCUCCCUUCCAAAUCCUGGCAAGCUCACCCAGUUUCAAAUCCCAUCCCUUCUCAAUGCUCUUUGCCCGGAUAAGAUUCAUUCCCUGUGCAUAACUACAAAUUUUGGAUGCAUAAAGUGCCUGCCUCACAUCAUCUAUCAACUUCUUCUUGUCCACAGUCUGGUCAGACAAGACGUUUUCAAAACCACUUGAUUUGAAAACUUUGGCAGCUUCAACACGCUCUUCCUUCAGCCCACUGAGGAACCUUGCAUCCAAAGAGGAUGCUAUAGUUGGGGCUGCAACUGAUAGGUCAGCAGCUUGCUGAACUGUCCAUUUACCAGUCCCUUUCAUGCCAGUUUUGUCCAAAACCUUGUCUACCAAAAAUCCGUCUCCCUUAUCAUCCUUAAUACUGAAGAUAUCUGCAGUAAUCUCAAUCAAGAAGCUCAAAAGCUCCCCCUUGUUCCACUCCGAGAAAACAUUACGCAAUUCCUCAUUGGAGAGCUUACCAACUGAUUUAAGCACAUCAUAGGCCUCUGCAAUCAGCUGCAUAUCACCAUAUUCAAUACCAUUGUGAACCAUCUUAACGAAAUUUCCAGAACCCCCUUUGCCAAUGUAAGUCACACAGGGGCCACUAUCAGGAACUUGAGCAGCCACUUUAAGAAGGAUAUCUUCUAUGUACUUGUAAGCCUCAAAUGAACCUCCAGGCAUCAAAGAUGGCCCAUGACGAGCACCCUCUUCACCACCUGAAACUCCCAUGCCAAGAUAGAGCAGACCCAGUUCAGCCAUGGCUUUCUCUCUCCUCUCCGUGUUCUCAUACCACUCAUUGCCACCAUCAAUGAUACAGUCUCCUUUCUCCAAGUAACCGGACAGGGUUUUGAUGGUCUGGUCAACUGGAGCCCCAGCCUUAACAAGCAUGAUUAUGACACGGGGCUUUUGGAUUGAAUUAACAAAGGAUUCAGGAUCAUGGAAGCCAUAUAAGGGAAGGUUUCCUUCCUGUUUGGCUCGUUCAACGGUUUCAUCGACUUUUGAGGUGGUUCGGUUGUAAACAGAAAUUGGGAAUCCUUUCUCAGCAAUGUUGAGGGCAAGAUUUUGACCCAUGACUGCAAGGCCAGAAAGGCCAAUUCUUGAUACAGGAGCCAUUACUUUUUCCUGUUCAAAGUAUUGGACAAUCUGUGAGAUCGUGGAAACUGCAAAUCUUGCAGCAUAGAACAGCAUAGAAAUGAGAAACAAAGAUAAAAGAACCACAGAAUGACUUGCUGGAAAUCAGGACAGAUUAAUCAAGGAUAAAAGACAGUGUCUACACUCUCCAAAUAUAUGUCUAUGAUGACAAUAGAGUGGUCAAUCUCCAUGAGAAUCUUUCAUGCUACCAACCAAUAGGGAAUAAGACCAGAAACUUCUAAAUUUCUAAUAUUGAAAAAGAAGAUAAGGUAUUGUUAAGAGCAUCUACCAAAUUUAGGGACAGAGAUAUCAGGGGCAGAGAAAUUCACCACCCUGCAAGUAUUCUUCUUAAAGAAUAAAAAUGAAUAACCAAAAAAUAAAUAAAUAAAUCAAUUUCGAACUUCCAACAAAAUUUCAUCUGCAAGCCACAAGUCAUAGGUAUAGGUUUUCAUUCAAUUCAACCAAAAGAAAAAAUAUCAAAUUUCAGUUCCUAAAAAGAGAUUGAUGGUCUAAUAUCAUAAACUCGUAAAGUGCAAAGUGAUAACCCAAAAGGCAAGACCUAAAAACUGAAACCAAGAAUAAUUAAAGCUCCAUCUUCUUCAAUGGCAAAAAAAUUUCCCAAAAUACAUAUCUCCAAACAGUAAAAUGAACAGCAAGCUAUGUUAUGGAAAAUUUGCAUAACCAAUACAAAUAAGGAUGGGCAUGUCCAGCAUAUGCAUUGGAAAAUUUCAUUCCAAAAAUCAAAAUGGAAGCAACUUUUCAUUAUUUUAAAAGUGCAGAACUGUUAGUAGCAUUGUUAGCAAUGACUUAGCAUUUUCCCUGAAUUUUAAACAAAACUUCAUUGAUAGUUUACCAAUACCAUUUACUUUUCAUUAUUUUAAAAGUGCAAAACUGUUAGUAGCAUUGUUAGCAAUGACUUAGCAUUUUCCCUGAAUUUUAAACAAAACUUCAUUGAUAGUUUACCAAUACCAUUUUCCGGCCUGGUUGCAACUUACUAACAGAAAACCUAAUCCUUUAUGGUCCAAAUCUAAGAUUUUUCUGAAUCACCAAAUUUCAGCCAACUUUAGGCAAUCUGAACUAUUCAAUUUUUUGUUUGUUUGUUGUUAUGAUUUUUUUUUUUUAAUACAUCUGAACCGAAAUAAUUCAUUCCAAUUUCUAGCUAAAUACACAAUUUCUACAAAAGCAGCCAACUCAUCCCCUUUUUCUCCAAAUUCCUAAUCCUAAUCUAAACUUUUCAAAUUUACAAUAAAAAAUUUCACCCGAAUGUUAACCUGAUUGGACAAAGGUGGUCUACUCUAUAUCGGAAAAGGAAGAUUGACCAACAUCCAGAAAAUUCUGAACAGUAUUUCAAGGAUCUACUUUUCCCAAACACCAAACAAAAUUGAACUGAAAACCAAUCAAACCAUAAGAAAAGAAAGACCUGAUUCACCAACAACAGGAGAAAUAUGAACAGUAACUUUUCAACAGGAGAAAGAAGAACAGUAACUUUGUGAUCCUAAAGUGGCACUAAAUAAAGGGCUUAGCAGUAGCAACAACACAGAUUCUCCAAACAAGAAUCAAUCAAAUGAUAUCAUCAGAUCAACACACCACAAACCAAACCCACGAAGAAGAAACCCUAGAUCACCAAUUCACCAAUACAUAUGAAGGAUAAACAAACCCAUGUAAAAAACAAAGAUCAGACGCUCUCAUAUUCAACAAUGACUAAAAAGUAGUAAAAGGGAAUCCAUAAUCCUCCUAUACCUCUGAAAGUGCGAACAAAUGACGAUAGCUUGAAAGUGAGACAGACCCAGAAAAAAUGGAGAUCUGGGUUUUGAAGAACACCAACGGUUUGGUUGAAAAAGGGCGAGAGGCUCACCCCUAUGUAUCUCUAAGGCUGCACACAAGGCGGGUCAAAGUUGGCCAACUAAGCACUUUUCCCUUCUGCUUUGGUACAUAUUUAAGUGGUGGAUUUGUAAUUCCCUUUCUCACUGAUUUUUCAUUUUUCAAUAAACCAAUGGAACCCACUCGCCUCACGGUCCACGCUCCCUAUCUCAUCCGCCCUUCUGUUUUCCCAUAUUUUCCCAUCAUUUCCCUUUACUUUCUUGAAUGCUGUUUGGACCACCACUUUAUUUUGGUUGGCUGAGUUCUUAAGGUUUUAUUUUGUAAUUUAAAUGAGAACAAUCUUGAAAAUGGAUAGAAAUGAAAACAAAAUCAAUGUUUAAGACGUUUCAAUUCGAUUUAAAAAAAUGAUAACCUAAAAAACUUUUUUUUUUUCAUAAUAUAUGAUUAAAUACAAGUUAUAUAAUGUAAUUAUAAAAAACGAACUUAAUUACUGUCAAUAACAUAAAAUACAAUAAGUGAUAAGAUUUAUGGAAUAAGAGAUAAAUUAUCACAACUCAUUUUAUAUCCAAUAAGUGAUGAAGUGUAUUAUUCUAAAUUUUAUUAUAUUUUUUAUAGAUGGAUAUAAUAAUUUUAAAUUGAAAUAUGAUAUAUACAUACUCUAUAAAUUUUAAAUUUACCUUGUUUUAUCUAACUUCUUUAUUUUUAUAAAUUUUCUAUAUUUUUAUUUUACAAAAAAAAAAUUGUGAUUAAAAAAAUUUAUUUAAUAAAUCAUAAAUUGUAAAACGAUUUUCAAAUAAUGUGAGAAAUUUAAUUUUUUUUAUAACAAAUAUUACAAUGUAAUAUGAUUUUUAUUUUAAAUAAAUAUCAAAUAUUAAAAAGUAAUAUGUGUUUUCCUUUUUUUAUUUAUUUUAUAAACCAAAUAUAGAUGCCAUAUAUCUUAUUGAAUAUAGUAUUUUAAAAUAUUAUUUUUAUUGGUGUGUCCAGAUGAUAUAAUAUAUCUUAUUCAACAAAAGGUAAGCUUUAUUAAUAUCUCGAAGAAAAAGAUGAAGAAGAGGAAAGAAAAAAGUUAGUGUUACUAUUAGAUUCGACCAAAAAAUGCAUGAAAUAUUAAUUAUUUUUAGAUAGCUAUUUGAAAUUUAUAUUUUAUGAAUUGGGGUUUGUUUAUUUUUUUUUAUUUUUUUUCAUAUAAGUGUAUGAAAAUACAUUUUUCCUGAUUGAUUUUCCAUUUUUACUCUAUAUUUAGGUUUCAAACAUGCUUUAAAAUAUUACCAUUUCUAACUUAUAUUGCCAAUGAAUAAGAAAGUAGGAUUUUUAUUUUUAUUUUUUAUAGAAAGCCAAAACACCAUCCCAAGACUCCUUUGACUUACUUCAAUUUUAUUUAUUUUUCUAGAAAAAUACUAAUUUUGAGAAAAUGUUAUUCAAAACAAUUUCUAGAAUUGCAUUUUUCUUAAUCUCUUUUAAUUUUUUUUUUUAAAUCUAGGACAUCAAAUUGGUAUUUAUCAAAGAUUAAAUUUGUGCCAUUAAAAGUAUAUAGUGAAAUCUAUAUUAUUGGAUGAAGUUAUAAAUAUACGAGACCAAAUAUAAAUAAAUAUGAUAAAAAAAUCAAAUAAUGAGAUUGAAUUUAAGUAUAAAGUAAUAAGAUUUAAAAUGUAUAUAUGGGAACUUUUAAUUUAAUUUAUUUUUUAAUAUGUACUAAAUCCAUAUAGUCAUGAGAUCCUUCAAUCUAUUUAAAUAUCAAAUAUAUUUUUUGUUACAUUUAAAAUCUAAUAUGUAAAUAAAAUAUAAAGGGUGACAUGUGAUGAAAUUUGGAAGGUUACGGGUAAAUAAAUUCAAAUAUUUCCAUUAAAAUUAAAAGAAAAUUUAAAAUAAAUAUCUUUAUUGGAAAAUUUCUAAAUAAAAUUAAUCUUUCGAAUUGAAAUUUUUUAAAAAUAAAUAUUUUCUUCGUUGACAAAUUUUUAAAUAAAACAAAUCUUCCAUUUGAAGUUUUUGAAAAAUAAAUAUUAUCUUAUUAACAAUUUUUUUUAAUAAAGUUGAUAAAUUAUAUUUAAAAUGUAGGAAUGUGAGUUUUUAUUUUCAAAUAAAUCAAAGAAAAAUUGAAAUAACACCAUUUAGCAAUUUUGAGGGAGAAAUGGGCGGAUUUUAAAGAGGGUGCAAAAUGAGAAAGCCCCUCAAAAUCAGGGGCAGAGAGUAUUUAACUCUUCAUUUUAUUUUCAAAAAUAAAAACACUUUUCAUCUCUGCUAUAUUGGAAAUGGAACUCAUCACGUGAUGGUUUUAUUUUCAUUUUAUGCAUAGGGUCAAAAAUAUAUAUGGACAACAAUGUAAGCCCAUGUUUGCAAAUAAGGUAAAAAAUGAAAUCAAAUAUUUUGAAAUUGUUUGAUUUUGCUACUACAAAAUCAUUUCCAUCGCCUACUCAAUGAUGCUAUGUUUGUUUUCCAUUUGUUUUUUUUAAAACAAUAAAUAUAGGCAAAACUAUAUAUUUUUUAGGGUUAAUUCAUUCAUCUUGUCGAGGUUUUGAUUUAAUAUAUUUAGUUUCAAUUCAUUUGAAUUUUUAUCAUAUACUUUUCUUAUUGUGAAUAAGAUGAGAGAUACCUGAAAAUAAAAAAUAAAAUAAAAAAAGAUAUAUAUUUAAUAAAAUUUUAAAUUUAUGGGGUUAAAUAUAUUUAGCCGAAACCUUUGGAGUUGACCCAUAUUUUUUAAUAUGUAAAAUAUUUAUUUAGUGUUUAUUAAAUAUAUCAAAAUAUCUUAAAUAACUUAAAAAUAAAUAUUUCAUUAAAAAAUUGGGAAGCAUGAUGAGCAAUGCAUGAAAUCAUGCUGCAAAUGAAAUUAAAAAUUAAUUUUUUUACUACUAUAUUUACAAAUUUAGCACAAUUAUUGGGACUCCCCACCGAUUAUGAUAAAGCCAUCAAAGGAAGUAGGUGUGUGAAUGCGCAACCUCCCUUUGAAGUUGAAGUGGGUUGGUGGGUGGUUUGGUAAAGAAAAGACAACUAGCUUUCCUAUGACUUGACUUCGUAUUGGGAAAUGAUUUGGUAGAAAGGGAUCCAUUUUCAUGUUCAUGUUAGGUAGAAAUUUUUUUAAUUCAAAUUUGAAUUAGUUUACAUUGGUGGAUGGAAUAAUUCUUUUUUAUUUUUAUAAAUAAUAUAUUUUAUGUUUGGUUUCGAAAAAAAUAGAAAUGAAAAGUAAAGAGCAAAGAAAAAAGAAAAAAAAAAUUAAAGUUGAUACAUUAUCAAUUAAUAAAUUAAUAAAACUAGUUACACUAGUUUAAAUUUUUAAAUAGGAUAAGGGUGAGAAUUAUUUUGAAUAAAUAAGACAAGUUUGAUAAGGGGAUGACUCAUCCUGAACCUAUCUCGUUGCCAUCGUAUCAAACAAUAAAAUAAAAUUAUAGUCCUAUCCAAAUACUGAGUAUAAGUAGUAUGAAUAUUCUUUUCUUAUCUUAGCACACAAUGAAAUUACCGGUUAUACCUAGGGAUGACAAUGGGGUAGGUUCGGGAUAGGUUGCCCCCAUCCCAACCCCACCCUAUUUAUCCGAAAUAAUUCAUAUCCUCAUCCCAUUAAAAAAAUUAAAUGGGCCUAGGCUAAUAUGAGAAAUUCUCAUACUCGCUUGGACCGCCCCCUUUAACUUUUUUAUUUUUUAAAAUUUAAAUUUAAAUUUUUUUAAUAACAUUAAAAUAAAUAUAUUUUAUAAAUAAUUAAAUUAUUGUAAUUUUAAGGACAAGACAAUAUCUAAACUCACUCCAAACUAAAAUUAGUAAGUAAUUAUUUAUUUAUUUAUUAAUAAUAUUUUUAUUAAAAUAUUUAAAAUUUAUAACUAAAAGUUUUCAUAUUAUAUUAUUUAAUACAUAUAAAUAAUUAAUAUUAACAUUAUUUUACACUUUCUUUUUUGUUAUUCUUUUUUAACUACAAAUUUAAUUUGUUUAAAUAAUUUUUUUUUAGUGAGGUUAUGUCUAGCAACUGGGGGAUCAUAGUAAAAUCGCACCUUAGGAUUAAUAUAUCCCAUAUAAAAGCUAUAUAAAGAAAACUUAUUCUAAUAUGAAAUAUGAAAUGAGAUGAGAUUACUGUUCAUAUCUUAUCAUCAAUCAAACAUUAAGUAAUUUAUGUCAUUUCUUAUUUUAUCUCGUACUAUAUUCAACCACCCAAAUAUUAUCAUAGUAUUUAUAGACUUUUUUUCCCUUAAAAUGUCAUUUCAUAUAUUGAAAAUUCUUAAUAUGUUUUAUUCUCUAUAUAUUAUUCUUUUUAUAAAAAAAUAUUCUUUAAUAUAUGUUAUUCUUUUUACAAAGAAUAACUAAUUUACUUAUUCUUCUAUUUUUAUAUUUUUUUUAAAUCUUAUCUUUUCAUAUAUUCCAUAAUAAAUUUAUAUAUAUAUAUAUAUAUAUAUAUAUAUGUAUAUUUUCUCAUAUAACCUUUUGGUGCACUACACUUUUCAUGUUCGAAUAGGCUAGACUCGUCUUUCUCGUCUUUUUAUUUGGUGAAAAAUUGAUAUUUUGAAAAAGACUUUGACCUGCCACUUUUUUUAAGUUUUUUUUUAAGAGAAAACAAAAUAAAAAAGAAAACCUUAUUGACUCCUUAUUUAAAAAAGAUAUAUAUGCUAAAAUCGAGUCCAUAUCUACAAAAAUAUCAAAAUUCAAUCAAAUUUUAUUAAUGCAAAAAGGAUUAUUAAUAGAAAAACAAAAAUUUACAAAAUUAAUUACAAAAAUGUUUCAAUCCCCUUUUUGAUUUAUAAAAAAUUAAAUAUUCUUUGAUUUCAUAUAAUAUAUAUAUAUAUAUAUUAAAAAAUAAAAGAGAGAAAAAAAAGUCUUUGUUUGAUUUAAGAAAAAAGUUUCAUAAUUUUAUUAGAAGAAAAGAAAAAUUAUUUUUGAUUUCAUAGAAAGAAAUUUCAAUUUUAUUGUUAGUCUUUUAAGGUUUUGAAUUUAUUAUAUAUAAAAAAAAAAGAGUUUAACAAAUUUACUUAAAAAGUGAUUUUUCAAAUUUUAUUCAUAAAAGCAUUCCAAUUUGAUUUUUGAUUUAAAAAGGAACUUCAAAAUUCUAUAUUUAGAAAAUUUUACAUUUUCACGGUUUUUAAGAGAAAGAAAUUUUACUUGACCUUUACCAAAUAAAUAAAUAAAUAAAAUAAUUUUUAAGAUUUUGUGUUAAAAAAAAAAGAUCUCAAUUCAAUUUUAUUUUAAAAAACCGUUUACAAUUUUAUUUAUGGAAAAAAGUCUAUUACAAUUUUUAUAUAAGGUAAAAUUUGCUUAACUUUUAUUAAGAAAAGAAAUUUGUCUUUCAUUUUAAAAAAAGAAGAAUUUUUUAUAUUAUAAAUUUAUCUAAAAAUAAAAUUUAAUUAAUCUUUUAUUUCAAAACAAAAACAUUUUCAUAAUUUUAUUUAUAAAAAAAAUCUAGGCUUAAAAAAAAGAUUAUUUUAUUAGUUUAUCCAAAAAAAAUUGUUUAAUACUUAUUGAAAGAAAAUCUUUUACAAAUUUAAUUGGGAAGAAAAAAAAAAGAAAACAAAAUGUUUUUCCUUAAAUAAAUAAAAUACAAGUUUAUCUAAAAGGAAUUUGGUUUAUCUCAUAUUUAUUAAAAAAAAUGUUUUGAUAAUUUAAUUUAUAAAAUAAUUUUAAUCCAAAAUGCUUUUUCAAUGUUUUAGAAAUUGGACUAGUGAUUGAAAUGGAAAAGUUACCAAUUCACAAUUCAUUGGUCCCAGUUCAUUAGAAAAGUUAUUGAUGAUCAAAUCGUGGUCAAACCAGUGACAUCAUAAAUAAUAAUUUAUAUAUUAUAUAAAAUGUUAAAUGAUUAUAAUAAAUUAAAAUUAUAUAUAAUUAAAUAUUUUAUUUUUAUAUUUGAUAUAUCAAAUUAAAUGACGAAAAGAAAUAUAAGUAUAUUAAUAUUUGAAAUUUUAUUAAAUAGAACAUUUAUAACAUUUAAAUAUAAAGAUAUAUUUAAAAUGAAAAAAAAAAAUUUAUUUACAUGUAUUUUGUAUUUUAUUAGUUUGAAAUUAUUAUAUUAAUUAAUUUAUAUUAUUUUUUAAUCACAUUAUAUAAUUUUUAUAAAAAUAAAUGUGAAAGUGUUUUAUAUUUUGUACAAUAAAAUUUUGAAAAAAAUAAUAAUUUUGUUUUAUAUUUUUAUUUGCAAAUAUAAUACAAUGAAGAAGCUUCAUAGCUUAAUGGUUAAGCCUCAAUUUUUACACCUGAAGGUCCCAACUCAACUCUCCAACUUGCAAAAUUUUUUCUUUUUACUAACUAAUCCCACAUAAAAAAUGGAUAAAAAAAUAUGUAGGGAUUGUGGGGUAUAAAAGACAUGCAAAAAUUAUUAACUUGUAAGACUAAAAGCUUAUUGGGUUCGAUGACAAAUGGGUCGGAUGGGCUCCUCAUAGAGUGAUUUGGUUCCUUUAGAAAACAUUGUUGUUUUGGUGCAAAAUGCAUCAAAAUGUUUUUUUGGUUUUAAAAAAAAAAACAAAGAAAAAAGGUUGAACCAUUUGGUUUGAAAGGAACCGGUAGUUUCGUCGAUCCAAUCAUCGGUUCAAUCCUUGGACAACUCAAUUUGCCGGAUCAAACCAGUCGAUUCGGUUUGGUCUUUAAAACCAGUCGAUUCGGUUUGGUUUUUAAAACCAUGCGAUUUUUAACUUAAAACUGAUUUUUUUUUUUCAUUCACCAAAAAUCAACUUUCAUUUGAAUUAUAGAAUAUUUAAAAGUUAUUUUAAUUUCCUUUAAAAAAAAAAUACUUGCAAUUUAUUCAAAAAAGUUACCACGGUUUUAUUAAAAAAAAGAAAAAAGAAGCAUAUUUCAAAUUUAUCAUACAAAGAAAAGUUCAAAUUUAUUAAAAACAUAAUAACAUAUUAUAAAAGAAAGAAAGAAGAUUUCAAUGAGUUAAAAAAGAGAAAUUCCAUUUUAUUAGAAGAGAUUCUUUUUUUCUUUUCUGUUUUAUUCUAAAAACGUCUUUUUUCUUACUUUUAUUAAAAAUGAGUUUUUCAAUUUUAAUAUAUAUAUAUAUCUUAUCAAACAAAGAUUUUAGAAUAGUAAACAAAAAUUUAUUUAAAAGGAUUAAAUUUUUAUUCCAAAAAGAAUUUUGGUUCAAAGAAAAAUAAAAUAUAAUAAAAUAUUUUUCGAACAAAAAAAAAACAUUAUCUUACUAUAAGAUUAUUCUACCAACAGAGAGAUAAAAUACAAAUAAAUUACACCUUUCAUAUAUUUUUCAUUAACAAAAAAAUAAAAAUAAACAAAGGCUAACUAAGCAUAUUGUAGACCCCCCGGAGGCAGAGUUUUUUUUCUUGGGAUUUAUUUUAGGUCUUUUCUUUUUCCUACCUUUUUCUGAGGAGCCGCUCGACAUGAUGGUCAGGAGCUGGUUUUUGGGGUAGAGAGGGGACUCAAGUGGGCGGCUCUCGGGGGGCAGAUUGGACGGGAUACGGCUGGCUUGCUGAGGAAGACACGAACAGAAGAAAAACAGAUGAAAAAAAGUAGAAAAAUAGAGAUCAAGAGGUACGGGGAUGCAGCAGACUGGGGGAGAGGCUUUUCUUCAGCCAGACAUCGAGAUCAGUGGGGGGGCCGGAGGAGGAGACGAGAGGAGCUUUCUUUGGGUAGGGGGAUGGAGAGAUAUUUUCUGGGAUAUUCACCGAGGGGCUCUGGAUCUUGCUGGUAGAGUAGACAGAGGUUGGCGGUAAUCUAAGUGAGCUUCAUUGAAGAGGAGAUUCGCAGGUAUGGAGUAUCGUUUUUUUUUAAGGUCUUCCUCAUUGUCACUGUUCUUCAUCAUAUUCUCUGGCUACUUAGGCAUUGUUAGUUUUCUUGGUUGUGGAUUGAGAUUUGCUGAAUUUGGGUUCGUUUUUGUAAUUGCUCUGUUUUGGUUCUUUUUUGCAUUCUUUGUUUUCUCCUGUCAAUAACUGAUGUAUGGGUUGUUUUUGAGAUUGAUGUUUGAUUAAUCAUGCCCCGACUCCUAGCUUGUCUCACCUUUUUAGACCCAUUGAGUGUAUCAUGAGAUGGAGUCUUGAUCAAUGAACUCUGGGCGUGCCCUGUUUCUUGAGUCUUUCUUUUCUUUUCUUUUUGCCUUUGAAAAAUACCGACCAUUAUUUUGUAAACUACCCGAAAGCUCUUGGGAUGAGGGUAGAAAAUGUUUCUAACUUCAAGUGGUUUCUGGAUUCGACGGACCGGGGAAGUCGAAGGUUCAAGUUAUUGGUCUGGUUUUAGCUGCUGUCGAAAUGGGUGGAGGAACUGGCAGUAGUGAGGCUCCCAUGAUUGCUGGGAGAGGGAGGUUGGGUGCUGAUCAGCCUAUGAUUCUGCACAUGCUGGAUAUCCCUCCUGCUGCAGACGUCUUAAAUGGGGUCAGAAUGGUGGAAUUGAUGGAUGCUGAUUUUCUACUUUCUUAAGGGUGUUGUUGCUAUAGCCGAUGUUGUUGAGGCAUGCACUGUGGACAAUGUUGCUGUCUUGGUUGUUGGCUGGUUGUUGCUAACCCGGCAAACACAAAUUGCCUUAAUCCUGAAGGAAUUUGCACCAUCAAUUCCUGAGAAAAGCAUUAGUUUGAAAGUCUGAACAUUGAGGUGCCCAAGCAUGGAGGAGGAUGUGGAGGGAAUUUAUUAAAAAGAGUCAAUGGCCACGUGCAAGCCAAGGGAAUGUCCUUAGGGUAGCAAUAAAAAAAAACAACCCAGGCCACUUGAUGGUCCAAGUGUUAGCUUAUGAGACAUGAGUUUUAUUUAUUUCUUUAUUAUUGUAUGUGUUUCUAGUUUACCGUGUACCCAUUUAAAUAAUUCCCCCAAGUUCCGGAUUUCAAAUUCUAAUCCCCAAUUCUAAUUUUUCACACUUGUUUAUUUAGUCAUUAUUAUUAUUAUUAUUAUUAUUAUUAUUAUUAUUCUAUAUUUAUUUAAUUAUUUCAUUUAAAAAUUCUAAUCAUUAAAAUUCAGUUAUUCAAAAAUUUGACUUCCCAAUUUAAUGUUCAAUCUCAAAAAUUCCAUAAUUCAUUUUUACUCGUUUAAAUAUUGUUUUAGUUAAUUAGUAUUAUUAACCCAUAUUUAUUUAUUAUUUUGAGCAUUAAAGUCCAAUUCUUCAAAAUCUAACGUCCUAAUUUAACUUUUAAUCCCAAAAAUUUCACUAUUCAUUUUUACUCGUUUAAAUACUAUUUUCGUUAAUUAGUAUUAUUACUCCAUAUUUAUUUAUUAUUUUUAUCAUUAAAAUCCAAUUCUUCAAAAAUCCAGUGUCCUAAUUUAAAUUUCACUAUUCAUUUUGUUCGUUUAAAUAUUAUUUCCGUUAAUUAGCAUUAUUAUUCCAUUAAUUUAUUUUACAAAUUCCAAUAAUUAAAGUUCAAUUUUUCAAAAUUCCGUUUUCCGAAUUUAAUUUUCAAUAAAAAAUUCCGCUAUUCACGUUCAUUCGCUUAACCAUUAUUUUUGUUAUUAUUAUUAUUAUUAUUCCAUAUUUAUUUAUUUAUUUCUUUUAAAGUUCAAAUCAUUAAAAUUCAAUUCUUGAAAAAUCUGACUUCCGAAUUUAAGUUUCAAUCUCAAAGAUUCCACUAUUCACGUUCAUUCGUUUAAAUAUUAUUCUCAUUAUUAUUAUUAUCAUUUCAUUAAUUUAUUUUACAAAUUCCAAUAAUUAAAGUUCUAUUUUUCAAAAUUCCGUUUUCCAAUUUUAAUUUUCAAUCUCAAAAAUUUCACUAUUCACAUUCAGCUGUUUAAUGAUUAUUUUCGUUAUUAUUAUUAUCCCGCUCAUUUAUUUAUUCACUUAUUCAUACAUUUAAAACCUCAUCUCCAAAUAAUUUCCCAAAAUUUAAAUCUCUAAAUUCAAUCUCCAAUCUCUAAAAUUCUAUUUUUUUGCAAUUAUUUACUUAAUAUUUAUUAUUUAAUCAUUAUUAUUAUUCCAUUUAUUUAUUUAUUCACUUAUUUAUUUAUUAAAAUUCCGUCUUUAAAUAAUUCUUCAAAAUUCUAAUUCCCAAAUUUAGUUUUCUGAAAUUCCAAAAUCUUUCAAAUUUAAUUUUUAAAAUUCUCAUUCUUAUACUUAAUUUCUAAAAAUCCAAUUUUCAAAUAAUCUCUAAGACUCCGAUUUUCAAAAAGCUAGUUUUCCUUCGAACAAUCUUAAUUUAUGUUUGGUAAUGCAUGUGAUAUAUUUCGUGUUCUAUAUUGUGCACUGACUCUGUUUCCACGAUAGCGCGUUGCUGUUUGCUGCCCAGGUAAGCAUUCACUCAUUUUGAUCAUUCAUAAUACACAUUCUGAUUCCCAUAUACGCAUGAUUGAUGUGAGUAUCCAUAGACUUUCUUAUUGACUGCCACGUCAGCUUCAUUCUAUUAGUAGAGACCCGACUUUAGGGACUUAGAGGGGUGCUACGGUCUUUACCGUACCUUCCCGAUAAGUAACCUGACCCCCGAACCCGAUCUGGUUUUUCAUAGACCACCUUUUCCAAAAUAAGGAGUCACACUUAGGGUUUUUCUUUCUUAUUUUGUUUACCCUUUAAAAAUAAAACAAAAAUAAGUGGCGACUCCAAGUCAUUUUUCUUAAUCAAUAAAAAUCAAUUUUUCAAAUAAAAAAUCGAGUUUCGCCAUCGAGUGGGAAACGCAUUCGAGCGAUCGAAAUGCGGGGUCCACAAAAUGGCGACUCCGCUGGGGACAUUUUUUUAGAGGGACAAGCUUGAACUUAGAGUGAAGCAAACGUGGCAUUUGAUUGGGCGAUUAGUGGAUGCUCAUCUCUUGAUUGUACAUUGAGGAUUUCUUGAUGCAUGCUUAGAUGUCGUAUUCAUUCGAGAUUUUGGCAUGUUGGAUUAUUGAUGAUUGAUCUUAUUGCAUUGAUUAGCACAUUGAUUCUGAUUUUGCCAUGCUUGUUCUGAUCACUUCACAUGCAUACACUCACCACUGUAUAUCACUCGACUUGACAUGUUAAUUCUCUGACUUGUAAUACUGUUUUGACCGUCCUUGAGCAUGAUGUUUAUAUCACUAUUCGUCUUGAUUGUCGUAUUCUCGCUUAUCUUGUGUGUACAUGAGUGAUAUAUCCUGCUCUGCCUGACUGUAUGAUGCAUGACUGCCCUCCCUCUGCACGAUUGCAUGCCGCUUGUCUAUGUGGGUCUCACUUCUAUCCCCUUACUUCCAAAUCUCUUGGUCUCGGUCAUUCUUUUCAUCUCGGUUCUCACUAUUGCAAGUGUGAAACCUUCUAUAUACUUGCUCUCUGACCGAGCCCGAGAUUAGGAGUAGGGUCUAGCGACGGGCUAUAUCGAUACACGGGAGCAUUCUGGAGGAGAGCGACACUUUGAUGUCGAUUGGAGUCCGAUCAUUGAAGACCUGUAUAGCCCCGAGCUAGGUUUCAUGGAUAGUUGUGCGACCAGUGUGUUCCCUCUUCUGCUCUAGAUUCUUAGGGUUUUCGGAUGCACCCACACCUUUAACUGUGCACUUUAGUUGACCAUUGAGCGUCAAGAGUUUGAGAGGUUUCACCAUAGGAAACCCCCUGGGAUGUCGAGGUAGUGCAUGUGUGGAGGUGAUGACCACCUUGCAUGGAAGCACCCCGUCUCUUUUUGAGGCGUGAAGAUGGUUGCGUACCGCCGGAGGGUACGAUCGCUUCUGCUAGGGAUCUUUUAAAUUCCACCCAUAUCCAUUUAGAGCCACCUUCACCUUGUAGGUUGAGUCGUAGAUCCUUCAAUUAGGACUCCCUCCCUACACGUGGGUGCAUCCGUGGGCCUUCAGAGCCAGUUCAGUAGUAACAGGUUUGGUUACCUUCGCAGUAGUCUCUUAUAUAUCUGCUCAGGGUUGGAUAUCGGUUUGUUCGCUUCCAGGCUACCUUUUGACACAUUUGGUAGACAUUCUUUGUGAAGUUUCCCUUACCCCGCACCUUAUCUAGUAUUUUUACUAUUGUAGGAGUACCGACACGUUCAGUCUGGGUUUGACUUCUUGGAUCAGAGUUGGGGGUAGAUUGAUCAGGGUAUCGGACCAGUUAGGCCAGAGAUCAGAUCAGAGGGAUAUGGAUUCACAGAUAGUUACCGUCGAUCAGUUCGCUGAGGCCAUGGCUUCGAUUCAGGAGGCUAUAGCUAGCCUUGGCCGGAGGAUAGAUGGGCAGCAGGCCCAGCAGGUCCCGCCCCCGGUUGGUGCCCAGUAUGACCCUACAGUGCCACCACCUCCUCCACCCAGUCAGUCAGCGCCACAGGCCAUGCCGUUCACUCUGCAUAGUCAGACCGGGGUUGCCCCGCCUCCCAUCACCGUGCCCACCCCGACCUCAGAGGACCCACAUGCUCGCAUGGAUAGACUUGAGCAGGGUUUGAGACAGUUGAGGGCUUCAGACAGAGCCACUACUUGGGAGGGUUUUGAUGGAGUGCCGGUAGCUAGCUUGCCGGCUAAGUUCAGGAUGCCUGACAUUGAGAGGUAUACUGGCAUUGGUUGUCCACGCCUCCAUCUUCGAUUAUACAGCACCGUGAUGAGGGCUCAUGGACUGGACGAGCCUCAGAUGAUUACUCUUUUCCCACUAUCUUUGAGUCGAGCGGCCCAGCGUUGGUUUGCAUCUCUGGAGGCCUCGAGGCGCCGCACAUGGGACGACUUGGCCCAGGAGUUCCUACGACAGUUUUCGUUUAACACUGUCGUAGAUGUAUCGAGGAGGGAGCUCGAGGCUUUGAGAUAGAGGACGGAGGAGUCUGUUUCUUCUUUCAUUUCUCGCUGGCGUGGGAAGAUAGCUGAGAUUAUCGAUAGACCAUCAGAGAAGGACCAGAUUCAGAUGGUUUUGAGGAGCCUGCAGCCGCGGAUCGCCAGACAUGUGGUAGGGGCCCCGUUCACAGAUUUUGGGUCUCUAGUUAUGGCUCUGUAUGAUGUCGAGGACGGUAUCUCGAGAGGUUUAUGGACAGAUUCUUCCCCUAGUGAUGUUAAGGGGAAGAAACCAUUCGUAGGACAGAGGUCGACAGAUGUUAGUGCUAUCAGUUCAUCCAGUCAGAGGCCUCCUAGACGCUACCAGCCGAUCCCACAGUUUCCCGAGCCUCAUUCGUCCUAUGCCUCUCAUCAGUACAGGCCACGGGCACCUCGACCAGCUUAUGAUCAGGCAUAUACUCCGCAGACUUUGGCUUUGCCUUAUUAUGCCCCCCAAGGCAUUGAGAGACCCCCGGUUUCCUACACGGCCACAGGACAGCCAUGCUAUGCUGCUCAGUUCACUGCGAGACCCGCAGCGCCUUAUCCCCGACCCAGAGCUCAGCAGACUUCUGCUCCCUUUGCUUUGAGGACGCAGAGGCAGUUCUCAUAGAUAGGCAUGCCGUUGAGCCAGGCUCUUCGGAAGCUUACAGAGGCUGGGUUAUUGACUACUCUCACCCCUCGGCCGCCGCCUCAGCCGAUUCCACCUCAGUUCAGGAUGGAUCUACACUGUGCAUACCAUCAGGGGCCUGGGCAUGAGACCGAUCGAUGCACCGCUUUGAGACAUGCCGUUCAGGAUUUGAUCGACCAGGGUUUGGUACACUUAGGUCAGCCGAGUGUGACCACGAACCCGUUGCCUGCUCACACCACACAUGCAGUCCCUCCACCAGCCGAUGACAUUCAUUUCUUAGAGUUUGAUGAGAUCGAUGAUCACAUCCACAUGCUGAGUGAUGAUGAUUCAGACCCAGAGCCCAUCAUGCUAGAUGUGAUUUAUGAGACGAGUGGGGUGACUCUGGGUCCUCGGACGCCUGCUCCCUUCCGAUUAGUUCCCGAGGCGGCGUCCGUGCAGGCUGCCACAGUUGAGCCAUUGAUUUUGCCGCAUUACAGUGUCCAGACGCCUUUCAUCUUGAUCCCGGAUGUUGAGGGGGUUCAGGCUCCGUACGUUGAUGAUUCUCAGACUCUGGACAUUCAGUACGUUCUCCGAGGAGGUAGAGUGAUGAGACAGCCACCUCCAGCUGCUGCCGCUAGACCCUUAGGGGGUACGUCAUCCCAAGAGGAGGUCAGAGUAGAGGAUGACGAGAUUUUGAGGCAGUUGCAGAGCACUCAGGCUCGUAUUUCUAUCUGGAGCCUUUUAGCGUCCUCCAGUACUCAUCGGGAUGCACUGACUCGAGCUCUGAGCCAGAUCAGAGUUGAUACCACGACCACUCCUGAGGGACUCAUUCAUAUGAUGACGGCUGGCAGAGCCACUUGUAUCGUCUUUUCCGAUGACGACUUGCCACCAAAGAGAUCUGGCCACACGCGUCCUCUCUAUAUAUCUGUUGGCUGUUCAGGUCGCCGAGUUCCAUCUGUCCUUCUGGACAAUGGCUCGGCCCUGAACGUAUGUCCUCUGGCCACCGCCAUCGCUCUUGGGUACGCACCAUCCGACUUCGGUCCAUCCACUCAGACCGUUCGAGCUUAUGACAGUACCCGUAGAGAGGUCAUGGGUACAUUGGAGAUUGAGCUCCUGAUAGGUCCGACCACAUUUAUCACUAUCUUUCAGGUUUUGAGGAUUCCUACAUCCUUUAACCUGCUUUUGGGCCGACCGUGGAUUCAUCGAGCUGGAGCCAUUCCUUCUUCACUUCAUCAGAAAGUGAAGUUCAUCCAUGAGGGCCAGGUAGUCGUCGUACAGUCGGCAGGGGACAUGUUCAUUUCCGCUGAGCCCGUGCUCCAGAUCAGCCACAGUGACGAUGAUUUACUACUGACCGGGUUCACUUUUGAUGAGGUACAGACUCUUGAGCUGGGAGACUUUUGCCGAGACUUCAUCGCUAUGUCCUUUGACCAGCAUGGGAGCAUAGUGGUGCUUGAUAUCAUGAGAGGCAUGUCCUAUCUACCCGGCAUGGGGUUGGGUCGACGUCAGCAUGGACCGAGCGAGUUCAUCACCAUCCCUGAUCAUGACGUACCAUUUGGGCUUGGGUUCAUCCCCACCGAGGCUGACUAUCGAUACAUGGCGCGUUUGCGCAAGGAGAGAGCGAGGGCUCGGCUGACCCACACGCCUUUCGACUAUCCUCUUCGCCCAUACACCAGGAGCUUAUCUGAUUACUUUGUGAGGGCAUCGGAGUCACAUGCACCAUCUGAUGGGAUCAUCGGAGGACUCAGCACCACCCAGGAGGCCGAGCUUCAGCGCCUCGUCCAGCAGUUACAGUUGAGUGACGGAGCCCCUGGCCCUUCGGCUUCUGUGUUGAUUGCUCCUCUUUCCCCAGAUCGCACGAGCCUUAUGACGCUUUGCUUCCCGGAUGAGAUCGAUGAUCACGGGACUUUUGCCGAGAUUGGAGACGUAGCGGAUGGAGCCGUGCCGCGUGACGAGUACGUUGAUGAGAUGCUCGCGAUGAGUUUGAGCCAGACCGAGGAGAUGGCCCCGCCGGAGCUCGCUUCACCUUUUGAUCUCUUUGGGGUGUCCGUCCUCGAGAUCGCCGAGGAGAUCCAGGUUGCCCCCACUCCAGAGGCCGUCGAGGAUGUUAUAGUUGCUGUUGAUUUGUUUGAUGGCCCUGUUGGCCUAGUUGAGGGAGCGUCCGACCUUGUGGACCCACCUCUCACCUUUGAUGUUUUAUCGGGAUUUGUCUCCCGUCAUGACUAUGUUUCUGACUUUUCAUCUAUGGAUUUGAGCACCUUUGAGUAUUUGCCUGUCUCUCAUGUUAUUGAUUUAUCUGCACCAUCUUCACCCACAUCACAGAUUUUUGAUAUUGAUGAUGAGAUUGCGCAGCACGACUCAGACGAUGACUCGUCUUCUACUUCCGAUUCAGACCCCGUUGAUCAGAGAGUUUCACCUGCUGUAGGGGACACCGAGAUUGUUGACUUUGGCACGGCAGAUCAGCCUAGGGAGUUGAGGAUCGGAUCGGAUUUGUCUACAGAUGAGAGAGAUAGCCUCAUCCAGCUACUCAGAUCCUACUUGGACGUUUUCGCGUGGUCCUAUGAGGACAUGCCAGGCCUUGAUCCCUCUAUCGUCCAGCAUCGUUUGCCACUUCUGCCCCAGGCCAGACCGGUUAAGCAGAAGUUGAGACGAUUGCACCCUCGUUGGAGCUUACAGGUGAAAGAGGAGAUCCAGAAGCAGCUCAGUGUAGGAUUCUUAUCAGUGGUUGAGUACCCGGAGUGGCUGGCCAAUGUCGUCCCUGUUCCCAAGAAGGACGGCAAGGUGAGAGUCUGUGUUGAUUUCCGAGAUCUCAACAAGGCCAGUCCUAAGGAUGAUUUUCCUCUUCCACACAUCGACAUGCUAGUUGACAGUACGGCAGGUCAUUCGAUGUUGUCCUUUAUGGACGGAUUUUCCGGGUACAGUCAGAUCUUGAUGGCUCCAGAGGACAUGGAGAACACGUCCUUCAUUACCGAGUGGGGCACUUAUUGCUAUAGAGUCAUGCCAUUCGGAUUGAAGAACGCAGGAGCCACAUAUCAGAGAGUAGCGACCACACUCUUCCAUGACAUGAUGCAUCGGGAUGUCGAGGUUUACGUAGACGACAUGAUAGUGAAAUCCCGAGAUAGAUCAGAUCAUUUGGCAGCUCUUGAGAGGUUCUUUGAGAGGAUCAGACAGUUCAGAUUGAGACUGAAUCCCAAGAAGUGCACUUUCGGAGUGACUUCCGGGAAACUCUUGGGAUACAUGGUCAGUGAGCGAGGCAUAGAGGUAGAUCCGGACAAGAUUAGAGUCAUUCUUGACAUGCCUGCGCCGAGGACAGAGAGAGAGGUCAGAGGCUUCCUGGGCAGACUUCAGUAUAUCAGUAGAUUCAUAGCCAGAUUGACAGACAUCUGCGAGCCCAUAUUUCGACUCUUGAAGAAGAGUCAACCUACUGUUUGGGAUGACCAGUGCCAGCGUGCCUUCGAGAGGAUCAGAGAGUACUUGUUAUCACCUCUUGUUUUGGCGCCUCCUACACCAGGCCGUCCUCUACUCUUAUACUUGUCCGUAUCAGACGUGGCCUUGGGUUGCAUGUUAGCUCAGCUCGAUGAUUCGGGCAAGGAUCGAGCCAUUUACUAUUUGAGUAAGAGGAUGUUAGACUACGAGACGAGGUAUGUCAUGAUUGAGCGUUAUCGUUUGGCAUUGGUUUGGGCCACUCGCCGGUUGAGACAUUACAUGACCGAGUAUUCCGUGCAUUUGAUAUCUCGCUUGGAUCCUUUGAGAUAUUUGUUUGACAGACCCGCUCUGGUUGGUCGCCUUAUGAGAUGACUGGUACUUCUUACUGAGUUUGACAUCCAUUAUGUCACUCAGAAGUCCAUCAGAGGGAGCAUUGUAGCAGAUCAUCUAGCCUCAUUACCAGUUUCUGAUGCCAGAGCUAUUGACGAUGAUUUUCCAGACGAGGAUGUCGCUGCUGUGACUAGUCUGUCAGGUUGGCGCAUGUACUUUGAUGGCGCGGCCAACCAUUCCGGAUAUGGGAUAGGCGUCUUGUUGAUAUCCCCUCACGGUGAUCACAUUCCCAGAUCAGUUCGUUUGGCAUUCUCGGAUCGACACCCUGCCACGAACAACAUUGUUGAGUAUGAGGCUUGUAUCUUGGGAUUAGAGACGGCCCUUGAGCUCCGGAUUAGACAGAUGGAGGUGUUUGGUGACUCCAAUCUGGUAUUGAGACAGAUUCAGGGCGAGUGGAAGACUAGAGAUGUGAAGCUUAAGCCUUAUCAUGCAUAUUUGGAGCUACUGGUUGGGAGAUUUGAUGAUUUGAGAUAUACCCAUCUGCCUAGAGCGCAGAACCAGUUUGCUGAUGCUUUAGCUACUCUAGCUUCCAUGAUCGAUAUUCCCGUUGACGCCACUGUUCGACCUUUGUUGAUCGAGUCGAGAUCUGCUCCUGCUUACUGUUGCCUGAUCGAUGAUGUAGAGCCAGAUGAUGGUUUGCCAUGGUAUCACGACAUAUAUCACUUUUUGAGACUCGGCAUAUAUCCUGAGGCCGCCACGGCCAAGGAUAAGAGAGCAUUGAGACAGUUGGCCACUCGUUUCGUGAUUUGUGGCGAGACACUAUAUAGGCGAUCACCUGACGGGAUGCUAUUAUUGUGUUUGGACCGCGCCUCUGCCGAUCGGGUGAUGAGAGAGGUUCAUGCGGGAGUCUGCGGACCACAUAUGGGAGGACAUAUGUUGGCUCGUAAGAUCAUGAGGACAGGAUACUUCUGGUUGACCAUGGAGACAGAUUGCUGCCAGUUUGUUCAGAGGUGUCCCGAGUGUCAGAUACACGGAGAUCUCAUUCACGUGCCGCCCUCCGAGCUGCACGCACUGACUUCACCAUGGCCAUUUUCCGUCUGGGGUAUUGAUAUCAUCGGGAAGAUUUCACCAAAAUCUUCCAGUGGUCAUGAGUUCAUCCUGGUCGCCAUCGAUUACUUCACCAAGUGGGUGGAGGCCGCUUCGUAUGCGAGGUUGACAUCGUCUGGAGUUGCUAGUUUCAUCAGAUCACACAUUAUCUGUCGCUAUGGAGUCCCUCAUGAGUUGAUUUCAGACAGAGGAGUACAUUUCAGAGCAGAGGUUGACACCUUAGUACAGAGAUACAGCAUCCGGCAUCAUAGAUCGUCUGCGUACAGGCCGCAGACGAAUGGGGCAGUAGAGGCCGCAAAUAAGAAUAUCAAGAGGAUAUUACGGAGGAUGGUCGAGACUUCUCGGGAUUGGUCAGAGAAGCUCCCAUUUGCAUUGUGGGCUUAUCGGACUUCUUUUCGCACCUCUACAGGCGCCACACCCUACUCCUUGGUAUAUGGCAUGGAGGCGAUGCUACCCGUUGAGAUUGAGAUGGGUUCGUUGAGAGUAGCAUUGGAGCAGCAGAUUCCCGAGGCAGAUUGGGCUCAGGCUCGAUUUGAUCAGCUCAAUCUCCUAGAUGAGAGGAGAUUGAGAGCAGCAGACCAUGUUCGUGCGUAUCAGAGGAAGAUGGCCCGCGCUUUCAAAAAGCGGGUCAAGCCCAGACCAUUACAGAUAGGUGACUUAGUUCUGAAAGUCAUCAGGGGAUUGAUCAAAGAUCCUAGAGGGAAGUUCAGACCCAACUGGAGCGGACCUUAUUUCAUCAGGGAGUUGACCCCAGAGGGCGCUGCAUGGUUGAUGGAUUUAGAUGGAAACCGAUUCUCAGAGCCAACCAAUGUGGAUCAGCUAAAGAGGUACUAUGUUUGAGACCAUGGUCGCAGGAUGGGUGGCCAUCAUUUCGGUUAGCCAUUUACCUUGUUACUCCCUUUUGAUACAUAGUUCGUUGCUAGCCCAUUGAGCCUCGCAUGCGCAUUAUAGCCUUUCUUUCUUAUCGCCUUGCUCACAUUUUCACACCGGGAUAGGGGCCCUUUAAUGUAUGCAUGCAUUGUUUGGUAGUUUCAUGAGCUUUGGACCUAGAGGCAUGUUUUUUCUCAUUGUCUUUUCCUAUCACUACACCUUUGCAUUUUCAUCUCAUCUUAUUGGUUAUGUUAUUCAUCUCUUCUUCCUUAUCCUAUCUACUAUCUGUUUGUUUCAUAUUUCGCUUCACCCUGGGGGGUGAUCCUCCUCAGUUCAUCACAUGGAGGGUAGUCACAUCAUUUCCGCCAUCUAUCUCGCGGACACUGAUUUAGAGAUCCUUGGUUUGAGAAGGUCAUCUUGUCAGAGAGAGUUUGUUUGUUACCUUAGCACUUGGGGGUGUGUCCAUUUGUUAUCGAUAUCAUCUUUGGGGUUCAUUUGUUCAUGUUCAGGGUACGCGUAUUUGUAUAUAUGUAAAAAAAAAAAAAAAAAAAAAAAGAAAAAAAAAGAAAAAGAAAAUUAUUAUUAUUAUUAUUAGCACAUGUGUGUAUGUGCAUAGUGUUCUCGAUCAUUGGGUAUGUAUAUUGAUGUUUGGGGGUCAUUUUUAUCGAGUAUGUUCGUUAUUGGGAGUUCGUAUGUGAGCUCUCUGAGAUCCCAUGUUAUUUGUAUUACUUCGUCAUAUCUAUUUGUGAGAGAGAUGAGUGACCUUCUCCUAAGGACUCCGAGUCAUUGUCCUUCCCAUCAUUACAUUCAUUAUUGAUGUGACUUCACUUCAUGUUUGAUCUGAGUCGAUCACUACCUUUCUUCACAUAUCCAUUGUUUCGCUGUCGUUUUUAUCGUUGCUUGUGAUUCAUCUCAUUCCCUUCACAUCUUAUUUUCCCCUUACAGUGACCCAUCUCGGGUUCGAUACUUCGCAUCAUCAUUACACAUAUCACUACCAGUUCAUUUUGCUUCAUUUGUCUCCUUGUCGAUAUCAUAUUCACGUUAGGCAUUCUCAGGUCCAUGGCUCAUGGGGUUCACUAUACAUGUUGCAUUUCAUAUAUGAGGGCAUGAGUUUUGAUCAUUGGGUAUUUGAGCCUAGUUUCCUUUCAUUUCUAUCACCCUAUCACCUUGGCCUACGUUACGUCCCGCGUCUUAAGACCACCCUGAGGCCAUGGGAUCAGAUGUCGUAUUCGGCAGCCUCUACUUGGACAGUGAUUGAGAUCUGGUUGAUAUUUAGAUAUUGUCAUGCUUCUUCUUCUGGGAGUCGCCUCUUUGAUGUGUAGGUUUGAUUCAGUUGUGUUCGGAUUACCAGGAUCGUGAGUUUGAUGAUGAUUGAUUUGGUGUCACCUGAUUUUUGACCUAUCAUACCUCUGGUACCACACUGGGGCAUAUCCCAUUUCAUUUAGAGGUUCAUGGAUCCUCACGGACUUGCGCGAUCAUCACUUACUGGAUGCUCAUCGAGACGUGGACAUGAUUGUUUACCUUACGGAGCCUCUGAGAUCCACCCAGCCGGGUCCGCACUUCUCGACACUUGGAUUCCAUCAUACCUCUCCACCUGGGAGGUACAUUUUGGAUAUGUGUGCAUGAUUCAGUUAUGGAUUCGGACGACCAUUGUUACAUGUUCGAUGACAGAUGAUUUCGUGUCGCUCGAUUUCUGACCUGUCGUGCAUCCGAUGCCCAUACUGGGGCAUAUUUUCCGUUUCGGAUGAGAUUUACGGACUUUCAUGGAGGUCACAUGUGCGAUGAUGGAUGAUUUCAUGACAUUUGUUCUUCGGACCUGUCGCGCACCUGAUGCCAUACGGGGGCAUAUUCCGUUUCAGAGGAUCUUUAUGGAUCUUUGCAGAGGUCACAUGUUCGAGGAUAGAUGAUUCCAUGCUAUCUGAUCUCCGACUUAUCAUACAUUUCGAUGUCAUAUAGGAGCAUAUUUCGGUUCGGAUGAGAUUUACAGAUCAUGAGGGAGUCGCGUGCUUAGCCUUAUUUGGCAAGACGUAUGCAGAGAUGAUGAUAUAUUUGCUAUCCUCACGAUGAUUCCUUAGUGGAGCCUAUCGAGAGCCGUCUAGCCAGGCAUGGAUGACCUGAGCUCAUCGGAUUUUUCGACGUAUUGCAUUCUCGAUGCCACAUUAGGGCACAUUCCCCAUUUUGAUCGAGAUUUAUAGAUCCCCACUGGUUUACAUGAUCAUCCACGGUUAUGAGAUACAUGCCAGGUCGAUGUUUGAUAUCAUUUUGUCUGGCUACUCCGAGGAGCCUCUUUUGAGUCAUUCAGCCAGAUUCAUACCCUUUGAUAUAGUCGUAUGGAGUUGUCUCUGGUGCCUGGAUUUCCCGCGUCAUCAUUUCAGAGGGAUACGAUCUGUUACGCGUCCCAUUGGUGUUAUUCUCGGGUCAUCAGGGCAGAUCGGGUACAUCGGGUGUCAUACUGGGACAUAUUUCUGUUUUGGAUGAGAUUUACGGAUCUUCACGGAGGUCACGUGCUCGACGAUAGAUGAUUUCUUGUCGCUUUUCUUCUGACCCGUCCCACAUUUGAUGCCAUACUAGGGCAUAUUUUCCGUUUCGGAUGAGAUUUAUGGAUCUUCACUUAUGUCACAUGAUCGAGGAUAGACGAUUUCAUGCCACCCGAUCUUCGACCUAUCAUACAUUUGAUGUCAUACUGGGGCAUAUUUCCGUUUCGAUUGAGAUUUACGGAUCUUCAUGGAGUUGCAUGCUCAUCCCCACUUACGAGAUACACGUUGACACGAUGUUUCCUCCGUGGAGCCUCUCAGGAGUUACCCAGUUAGGGCUGCGCUUCGCGACGCCUCGAUGUCAUCAUGUUUUCCUUCCGGGGGACGCCCUUUUGAUCUAUGGGUCUGAUUCAGUUGUGCACGUGGAUGAUUUGGAUCGCGCAUUCGAUGACGGGUGAUCUGAGCUCAUCUGGUUCUUCUGACCUAUCACACAUCCGAUGUCAUACUGGGGCAUACCCCCAUCCUUGAGUCCACCAGGUAUUUUGCGAUUUUCUCAUCACUUGAUCCACAUCUGGAUCUUUGCGGGUCGUCAUGCUGGGGCAUCCCCCCGCUGUCAUUUCGUUUGGGGCAUCUCCCCCACUGUCAUUUACGUUUGGGGCAUCCCCCGCUGUCAUUUUCGUUUGGGGCAUCCCCCACUGUCAUUUUCGUUUGGGGCAUCCCCCCACUGUCAUUUACGUUUGGGGCAUCCUCCCAUUGUCAUUUCGUUAGGGGCAUCCCCCCGCUGUCUUUACGUUUGGGGCAUCUCCCCACUGUUAUUUAUGUUUGGGGCAUCCCCCCACUGUCAUUUACGUUUGGGGCAUCCCCCCAUUGUCAUUUCGUUUGGGCCAUCCCCCCACUGUCAUUUUGUUUAGGGCAUUUCCCCACUGUUAUUUACGUUUAAGGCAUCCCCCUAUCUUCAGUUUGUUUAGGGCAUUCCCCUACCGUCAGUUCGCUUAGGGCAUCUCCCUUUGUUUCAGAUUUAUCACCACCGUAGGUCUUCACCUAUGGGCCUUAUAGUUUAGUGUUUAGAGUUAGCUUUUUGGUUUGACUUUCAUAGCUAUCAUUUUUCUCAGUUUAGCAUUUAGAGUUAGCUUUUUGGUUUGGCUUCUAGAGCCAUUAUUCUUCUAGUUUAGUGUUUAGAGUUAGCUUUUUGAUUUGGCUUCUAGAGCUAUUAUUUUCUCAGUAUCAGUGGUCAGAGCCAUCCUCGUCGCUUUUUUUAGCUUCGGCGUUUAGAGCCAUCACUUCUCAGUAUCGACAUUCAGAGCCCAUACUGGGGGAUAUUUUCUGUUUGGGAUGAGAUUUACGGACUUUCAUGGAGGUCACAUGUGCGACGAUGGAUGAUUUCAUGACAUUUGUUCUUCGGACUUGUCGCGCACCUGAUGCCAUACUGGGGCAUAUUCCGUUUUGGAGGAUCUUUAUGGAUCUUCACAGAGGUCACAUGUUCGAGAAUAGAUGAUUCCAUGCUAUUUGAUCUCCAACCUAUCAUACAUUUCGAUGUCAUAUAGGAGCAUAUUUCGGUUCGGAUGAGAUUUACAGAUCGUGAGGGAAUCGCGUGCUUAUCCUUAUUUGGCGAGAUGUAUGCAGAGAUGAUGAUAUAUUCGCUAUCCUCACGAUGAUUCCUUAGUGGAGCCUAUCGAGAGCCAUCUAGCCAGGCAUGGAUGACUUGAGCUCAUCUGAUUUUUCUUGGUGCCACACUGGGGCAUAUUCCCCAUCUUGAUCGACAUUUGUAGAUUCCCCACUGAUUUGCAUGACCACCCUCAGUUAUGAGAUACACGUCAGGUUGAUGAUUCGAUUCCAUUUUAUCCUGAUACUCCGAGGAGCCUCUUUUGAGUCUUUCAGCCAGAUCUUACUCUCUGAUACAGUCGCAGUUCUUGGACGGAGUUAUGUCGAGUGCUUGGAUCCCCACGUCACCAUCUCAGUGGGGGUACAUAUCAGAUCUUUUACGCAUCCCCAUGUUAUUCUCGGGUUAUCAGGACGGAUCGGGUACAUCUGAUGCCAUACUAGGGCAUAUUUCCCUCCUUUAGCCAUGGAGGCGAUCGUUCUCUCACAGACCCGUUAUAGCUUUUGUCACUCAGCCAAGAGAUAUUGUGUUCGCCUCAUUGACCAUUAUUCCUGAGCUCUUCAUCGAGAUAAGCUCUCAGUGGAGCGUUGAUCGAGACUCAUAGAGUCCCUUUCAGCCAUCUUUAGCGGUUUGAGAUUCGCAGCGGCAUGCCACACUGGGGCAUAUUUCCCUCUCAUUGUCUCCUUACGGUCUGGUGUUCAGGGUCGCCGUUCAUUCACGGUUUACGACAUUCAAAGUUAUCAUGUCACACUUUCAGUUCGGCGUUCAGAGCCACUUCUCUAGUUCUUGCCGUUCAGAGUCAUCAUCAUCUCUUUUUAGUUUCGACGUUCCGAGCCAUCAUCGCCUCUUUUCAGUUCGGCUUUUAGAGCCAUCAUUGGUUUUCAGAUCGACAUUCAGAGUCGCAUCCUCAGUUUCGGCGUUCAGAGCCAUCACCGUGUUUUCAGUUCGGCGUUCAGAGCCAUCAUCGGUUUUCAGAUCGACAUUCAGGGUCGCAUCCUCGGUUUCGACGUUCAGAGUCGUUAUCACUUCUCAGUUUGACGUUCAGGGUCAUCGUCAUUACUUUUUAGUUUCGGCGUUCAGAGCCAUCAUCGGUUUUCAGAUCGACAUUCAGAGUCGCAUCCUCAGUUUCGACGUUCCAAGCCAUCAUCACAUCUUCGUUGGCGUUCAGAGCCAUCAUCGCUUCUCAGUUUUGGCAUUCAUAGCCAUCACUGUUUUCGAUUUAGGCUUCCAGAGCCAUUACUGUCAUCUUGUUUAGGCUUUCAGAGCCAUUACUGUCAUCUUGUUUAGGCUUCCGGAGCCAUUAUCGUCAUCUUGUUUAGGCUUCCAGAGCCAUCACCGUCAUCUUGCUUAGGCUUCCAGAGCCAUUAUCGUCAUCUUGCUUAGGCUUCCAGAGUCAUCACUGUCAUCUUAUUUAGGCUUCCAGAGCCAUUUCUAUCAUUUUGUUUAGGUUUCCAGAGCCAUCACCAUCAUCUUGUUUAGGCUUCCAGAGCCACUACUGUCAUCUUGCUUAGGCCUUCAGAGCCAUUACCGUCGUCUUAUUUCGGCUUCCAGAGCCAUCACUAUCAUCUCAUUUAGGCUUCCAGAGCCAUCACUAUCAUCUCAUUUAGGCUUCCAGAGCCGUCACUAUCGUCUCGUUUAGGCUUCCAAAGUCAUCACUGUCAUCUUGUUUAGGCUUCCAGAGCCAUUUCUAUCAUCUUGUUUAGGUUUCCAGAGCCAUUACCAUCAUCUUGUUUAGGCUUCCAGAGCCACUACUGUCAUCUUGCUUAGGCUUUCAGAGCCAUCACUAUCAUCUCAUUUAGGCUUCCAGAGCCAUCACUAUCAUCUCAUUUAGGCAUCCAGAGCCAUCACUAUUGUCUCGUUUAGGCUUCCAAAGCCAUCAUUGUCGUCUUGUUUAGGCUUCCAGAGCUGUUAUUUUCUAGUUUAGCUUUUAGAGUCAGUUUUUUGUUUGGUUUCCAGAGCUUUUACUUUCUUGGUUUAGUGAUUAGAGUUAGCUUUUCGGUUUGGCUUCCAGAGCUUUUAUUUUCUCAGUUUAGUGCCUAGAGUCGGUCUUGUCAUCCAGAGUCACAACUCCUGGCAUUCAUGUCCACUGGCAUUGCACAUCUUACCUUCAGGGUUUUGCAUUCGUCCUCGACUUUCCUCACUUCGUUACCCGGUGCUUAUCCCAUAUUCAUCUCGUACUCCAGGGUGGUUCGACCGUUACUCAUCUUUGACAUUGAUCUCUUGAGUCACCUGUAGAGAUGUCUUAGAGGGAGUCUGGGUCCUCGAUGCAGCUUUCGAGGCGCCUUGAGCCUCUCUUAGAAUUUUAGAGCCUCGAGUGAGUUUGUGUUCUACUUGUACCUUUCGGGUUCGGGGGUCUUUCUUUGUUCUUCGAUAGAGUUCACUUCAUUUCAGUCACUUUUCACACUUCUUUUUCACUCUAGUGUUCACAUUCCUUACACUCGUGAACUCUAUCAAAGAGGGGCAUAUUUGUAGACCCCCCCGGAGGCAGAGUUUUUUUUCUUGGGAUUUAUUUUAGGUCUUUUCUUUUUCCUACCUUUUUCUGAGGAGCCGCUCGCCAUGAUGGUCAGGAGCUGGUUUUUGGGGCAGAGAGGGGACUCAAGUGGGCGGCUCUCGGGGGGCAGAUUGGACGGGAUACGGCUGGCUUGCUGAGGAAGACACGAACAGAAGAAAAACAGAUGAAAAAAAGUAGAAAAAUAGAGAUCAAGAGGUACGGGGAUGCAGCAGACUGGGGGAGAGGCUUUUCUUCAGCCAGACAUCGAGAUCAGUGGGGGGGCCGGAGGAGGAGACGAGAGGAGCUUUCUUUGGGUAGGGGGAUGGAGAGAUAUUUUCUGGGAUAUUCACCGAGGGGCUCUGGAUCUUGCUGGUAGAGUAGACAGAGGUUGGCGGUAAUCUAAGUGAGCUUCAUUGAAGAGGAGAUNNNNNNNNNNNNNNNNNNNNNNNNNNNNNNNNNNNNNNNNNNNNNNNNNNNNNNNNNNNNNNNNNNNNNNNNNNNNNNNNNNNNNNNNNNNNNNNNNNNNNNNNNNNNNNNNNNNNNNNNNNNNNNNNNNNNNNNNNNNNNNNNNNNNNNNNNNNNNNNNNNNNNNNNNNNNNNNNNNNNNNNNNNNNNNNNNNNNNNNNNNNNNNNNNNNNNACUUCCGAAUUUAAGUUUCAAUCUCAAAGAUUCCACUAUUCACGUUCAUUCGUUUAAAUAUUAUUCUCAUUAUUAUUAUUAUCAUUUCAUUAAUUUAUUUUACAAAUUCCAAUAAUUAAAGUUCUAUUUUUCAAAAUUCCGUUUUCCAAUUUUAAUUUUCAAUCUCAAAAAUUUCACUAUUCACAUUCAGCUGUUUAAUGAUUAUUUUCGUUAUUAUUAUUAUCCCGCUCAUUUAUUUAUUCACUUAUUCAUACAUUUAAAACCUCAUCUCCAAAUAAUUUCCCAAAAUUUAAAUCUCUAAAUUCAAUCUCCAAUCUCUAAAAUUCUAUUUUUUUGCAAUUAUUUACUUAAUAUUUAUUAUUUAAUCAUUAUUAUUAUUCCAUUUAUUUAUUUAUUCACUUAUUUAUUUAUUAAAAUUCCGUCUUUAAAUAAUUCUUCAAAAUUCUAAUUCCCAAAUUUAGUUUUCUGAAAUUCCAAAAUCUUUCAAAUUUAAUUUUUAAAAUUCUCAUUCUUAUACUUAAUUUCUAAAAAUCCAAUUUUCAAAUAAUCUCUAAGACUCCGAUUUUCAAAAAGCUAGUUUUCCUUCGAACAAUCUUAAUUUAUGUUUGGUAAUGCAUGUGAUAUAUUUCGUGUUCUAUAUUGUGCACUGACUCUGUUUCCACGAUAGCGCGUUGCUGUUUGCUGCCCAGGUAAGCAUUCACUCAUUUUGAUCAUUCAUAAUACACAUUCUGAUUCCCAUAUACGCAUGAUUGAUGUGAGUAUCCAUAGACUUUCUUAUUGACUGCCACGUCAGCUUCAUUCUAUUAGUAGAGACCCGACUUUAGGGACUUAAAGGGGUGCUACGGUCUUUACCGUACCUUCCCGAUAAGUAACCUGACCCCCGAACCCGAUCUGGUUUUUCACAGACCACAUUUUCCAAAAUAAGGAGUCACACUUAGGGUUUUUCUUUCUUAUUUUGUUUACCCUUUAAAAAUAAAACAAAAAUAAGUGGCGACUCCAAGUCAUUUUUCUUAAUCAAUAAAAAUCAAUUUUUCAAAUAAAAAAUCGAGUUUCGCCAUCGAGUGGGAAACGCAUUCGAGCGAUCGAAAUGCGGGGUCCACACAUAUCAAAUACUUUUAACAAACAAAAUAAAACAAAAAAUAAAUUCAUGAAUAACAAACUAAACGGAUAUGCACAAUGAAAAUCUAAACAAAUCUAUUUCUAUGUAUAUAGAAAGAAAAUUAAAACAAAUAUAUACAACAAAAAUUAGGAGGACAAUGAUGAAUAAGUAAACUUAGCGGUGCAAUCCCAAUAACAAUAAUGACUUCCAAAAGCUUACAAGAUGAAGCUCAAAUAUACAAAAACUUUCAAUCCUCUCACAAAUAUCACAGAAAAUACACAGAAGAUUAAGAAAAGUCCCAAGAGUCGUCCUUCUCCCUUGUUUCUUGCUCUUAUCUUCCUUUUUAAUCCAAAAAUUUUGGUAUUUAGUUAGCCCAACUCAUGCCUUGUCUUCAACUGCUCCAACUACUCCUAUGUUUUUCCACUCUCAUCAUAGUGCUAAAACACUCAUCCAAAUAAGAAAAACGAAUAAGCAUAUAUAUAUAUAUAUAUAUAUAUCAAAGCCCAAUAAAAAUAAAAAGAAAGCUCAAAUGCAAUUCAACCUAAAUAGCAAGUCUAACACAAACAAUAAGCCCAAACCUUGAAUUAGGAAUGAAGCCCAAAUACAAUAAGAAUUAAAGCCUGAGAUUAGGCCUA
This 31294-nucleotide long non-coding RNA is filed under the name Vitis vinifera (wine grape). RNAcentral describes it as "long non-coding RNA (VVIN_LNC000231)". Lineage: Eukaryota; Viridiplantae; Streptophyta; Magnoliopsida; Vitales; Vitaceae. The record is from RNAcentral.